UAUUGCACAAUGGGGGAAACCCUGAUGCAGCGACGCCGCGUGAGUGAAGAAGCGUUUCGGCGCGUAAAGCUCUGUCAGCGGGGAAGAAACACGGUUCGCGAGAGCCGCGGACGGUACCCGACCAAGAAGCCCCGGCUCACUACGUGCCAGCAGCCGCGGGAAUACGUAGGGAGCAAGCGUUAUCCGGAAUUAUUGGGUGUAAAGGGUGCGUAGACGGGAUAACAAGUUGGUUGUGAAACCCCUCGGCUCAACUGAGGAACUGCAACCAAAACUAUUAUUCUUGAGUGCAGGAGAGGAAAGUGGAAUUCCUAGUGUAGCGGUGAAAUGCGUAGAUAUUAGGAAGAACACCGGUGGCGAAGGCGACUUUCUGGACUGUAACUGACGUUGAGGCACGAAAGUGUGGGGAGCAAACAGG
This 415-nucleotide ribosomal RNA is filed under the name uncultured bacterium. RNAcentral describes it as "bacterial SSU rRNA". It matches the Rfam family "Bacterial small subunit ribosomal RNA", at positions 362 to 776 of the family's 1533-position model. The record is from RNAcentral.